AUCGCUUCUCGGCCUAUGGCUAAGAUCAAAGUGUAGUAUCUGUUCUUAUCAGCUUAAUAUCUGAUACGCUCCCCAUUGGGGAGCCAGAAUAUUAAACUGAUUUUUGGAAGGUGGCGGAGUGUCUGGGGCUUGCUCCGGCUCUGCCGCGGGUCGGCCUUACAUUGCAGUGCCGUAAGGAACGGCCCACUUAAU
Small nuclear RNA from Diprion similis, 192 nucleotides. RefSeq annotates it as U2 spliceosomal RNA. Lineage: Eukaryota; Metazoa; Arthropoda; Insecta; Hymenoptera; Diprionidae. The record is from RefSeq and is a predicted model, not a curated record. The transcript has a single exon.